AAGGAUCAUUAUUGAAUGAACUUGGUGUGGUUGUUGCUGGCUCUCUUGUGGGGGCAUGUGCACACCCGCCAUCCUCAUCUCUCCACCUGUGCACCUCUUGUAGACCUGGAUGAAUUUUCCGAGGUAACUCGGUCGGGAGGAAUGCUGCGCUCUUUGCGUCGGCUUUCUUUGCACUUCCAAGCCUACGUUUUUUUCAUAUACCCGUAGUAUGUAACAGAAUGUAUCAUUGGGCCUAAGUGCCUAUAAACCUUAUACAACUUUCAGCAACGGAUCUCUUGGCUCUCGCAUCGAUGAAGAACGCAGCGAAAUGCGAUAAGUAAUGUGAAUUGCAGAAUUCAGUGAAUCAUCGAAUCUUUGAACGCACCUUGCGCUCCUUGGUAUUCCGAGGAGCAUGCCUGUUUGAGUGUCAUUUAAUUCUCAACCUUAUUAGCUUUUGUUGAUAAUGGCUUGGAUGUGGGGGUUUUCUUUUGCUGGCUUUCUUCGGAUGUCAGCUCCCCUUAAAUGUAUUAGCCGGUGCCCUGCGUGGACUAUCCGUUGGUGUGAUAAUUAUCUACGCCGUUGGAUGUCUGCAAAUAGGUUUUGCACUGCUUCUAACUGUCUGUUCAUUUGGACAAUACAUGACAAUUUGACCU
RNAcentral lists this ribosomal RNA (632 nucleotides) under Hymenogaster citrinus. RNAcentral describes it as "eukaryotic LSU rRNA". The stretch from base 256 to 409 matches the Rfam family "5.8S ribosomal RNA". The record is from RNAcentral. Lineage: Eukaryota; Fungi; Basidiomycota; Agaricomycetes; Agaricales; Hymenogastraceae.